ACUCCUACGGGAGGCAGCAGUGGGGAAUUUUGCGCAAUGGGGGAAACCCUGACGCAGCAACGCCGCGUGGAGGAUGAAGUCCCUUGGGAUGUAAACUCCUUUCGACCGGGACGAUAAUGA
This 120-nucleotide ribosomal RNA is filed under the name uncultured bacterium. RNAcentral's name for it is "partial 16S small subunit ribosomal RNA". It matches the Rfam family "Bacterial small subunit ribosomal RNA", at positions 335 to 454 of the family's 1533-position model. The record is from RNAcentral.